RNAcentral lists this ribosomal RNA (267 nucleotides) under uncultured bacterium. RNAcentral's name for it is "partial 16S ribosomal RNA". It matches the Rfam family "Bacterial small subunit ribosomal RNA", at positions 92 to 354 of the family's 1533-position model. The record is from RNAcentral.
CGACCGGCGCACGGGUGAGUAACACGUAUGGAACCUGCCCUAUGCAGGGGGAUAAGCGGAAGAAAUUCCGUCUAAUACCGCAUAACACCUUUAGGAGACAUCUUCUUGGGGGUCAAAGGAGGCGACUCCGGCAUAGGAUGGCCAUGCGUCGCAUUAGCUAGUCGGCGGGGUAACGGCCCACCGAGGCGGCGAUGCGUAGGGGUUCUGAGAGGAAGGUCCCCCACACUGGUACUGAGACACGGACCAGACUCCUACGGGAGGCAGCAG